Sciurus carolinensis (gray squirrel) is the source of this 2568-nucleotide long non-coding RNA. RefSeq lists it as uncharacterized. Lineage: Eukaryota; Metazoa; Chordata; Mammalia; Rodentia; Sciuridae. The record is from RefSeq and is a predicted model, not a curated record. The transcript has 3 exons.
GACAGAGAGACCAGGACCUUGGAACAAGUGCCCAAGAGGGUUGUUAGUGAGAUGGAAUACGAACAUAUACGUGAAAGGAGAACUGGCCAUGCCUAUGGUCAAUAAUUUAUCUCAGAGAUUCAUUCAGCCUCUCACCCAAUAUUUCCCUCCUGUCUAUUGAUUCCCCAUCAUUAUUUGUCAUAAGCUGUCCUAACUCAAGGAGAAAAUAUGCCCUGCUGGUCCAAGGGGAGUCAUACCUGGAGAAAUAGAAAGGAAUUUCAUUAAAAGCGAGUAAGAACUGCUGUGGCUAUGAGAAACUCCAAAGCAAGUUGCUAAGACUGUUGUCAGCAUCCUCAAGCAAGGAGUAAGAAGCUCAACAACAUCACCCAUGGACAUCACGAAAACUGGACCAAGAUCGCUCUGACUGCAGUUCAAGGGAAAUCAAAGGCCUUUCCUCCAUACGAUUCACACUCCCCAAAAUUGUGUGUAUGUGUGUAGCCAACCAUACAAACACAUAUAGACACGGAUUCUUUAUUUGUGUAGGUUCAGCUUCCACUUCAUCUUUCCAAAUCUUCCUUGAGGUCUAAUGUCCAGCUCCAAGCCUUCCAAGACAUGGAGAACACUGAAGUUGAAGAGGAUAUUUCUUAGAAACUAUUGCUCAUGGCGUGCUCCUUCCAGUCCUAUGGGGAGACCUAAAGAAAAGUAAGAAGUUGCCUCAGGUUCACAGAGUACUCAUAAGAAAUGGAGUAAUUUCAAGGAGCUCCCCGUCAGAUACCUCUUCCAAGUCUUGGGGAAACUGAACACUAGCAAGAAAUCUCCUUGGUACCAGAGAGCAAUCCUGCAGGUUGGAAGAAUUCUGAAGAAAAGCUGCCUUCCAGACCUCCUUUCCAGGCUUCAAAUAACCCUGAAGAUCAGCAACAGGUCUCUUCAAGUUGCCCAAGAGAGGAGGAGGCUUGAGGGCAAUCCUGGCUGGUGCCCUCCAAGAAGGUCAACCUCUCUAAAAAGUCAAGGCUAAGGCUCUGAAGUUCUCAUUAAGAGCAUUACAAUUCUUACCACCAAAUGGUGGAAUUUACCAUUUCUCCUCCCUGAUAAAAGAUCCAGUUCUAAGUUCUCUGACUCAAAGAUGGCGCACAACAGGAGAAAUUACUUAAGGCUCAUAAAGUCAAAGUUAUUUGAUAGAAUGACCAAAGAGAAUGCUACAUGUGACAUUAGUUCAAAUUAACUCUACCAAAGUUAUCAGAAAUUCUCAAGUGAGAAUUAAAAUACUAUCAGCUGUUCAAGUUCACCCACCAAUGGGGUUGGUGCUGAAACCACUUUCAGAGUCUGAGAAGAAUCCCUUCCUCGCAGAAGUGCAAAAAGGAGGAACAAGACGAUUCUAUCAGGCUUCCUUUGCUCCCCUUGUGCUCCAUUCGUCAUCCAUAGCUGCAGAAGGAUGCGUCUGAAGAAGAGCUGGGCAGGGGACUCUCAGGUACCACAAAGAAGCUCACCACUAUAUUUGAUUGGCAGCAAAGUAACUGGACUGUGCCAAAUCUAAAGUUUUAACCAAGUAGUAACCCACUUUCAAGAUCCCAGAAAAGGUUCCUAACCUUCAGGCUAAUCACGCCAUUCUAGAGUCAGUGGAUGACCAUAGUCAGGCAACCUUUGUUUUUAAAUUUUCAUGUUCCAAGUCAGACUCCUCCCAAUGUCUUACAAUCAAUAUUCAUGACCCUCUCCCUGCUUGGCUUAGGCUACUUCUAAUAGAAAGUGAUCAUCUCAGUUCUGUAUCCAUCCAAAUUUACCAAAUAUAUCUCCAGUUCUUCUUACUCCACAGUUACUUCUUAAGUCAGUGGUUCUUAAUCUUUUAGCAUUCACCAGAAUCAUUCAGAGCACUUGCUAAAAGACAGAUUGCUGGAUCUCACGCCCAGAGUUUCUGAUUUAUCAGGUCUAGUUUAAGGCCCAAGAAUUUGAACAUUACUAAUAAGUUCCCAGUGGAUGUUUGUACUUCUAGUUCAGGGACUACAUUUUGACAACUACUGCUUGAAACCAAUGCUGGACUCACCACUUCCUGCCUAAUAUGUUUUAUUAUUAUGGGUUAAAUGUUCCUUCAUUAUAUGGCCUAUGUAUCAUCUGCAACAGAAUCGUGCCCAUUUUAUAAAAAGAAAUAAGUGUAUUUUCUGCUCCCCACUCAACACCUACUGAAUUAAACUUCUAAAGAGGAGAGGGCCUCAAGAAUCUGAAUUUUUAACAGGUUUUCAUAACUGACUUUGAUAUACUAUGAAAUCUAAUAAUUACUGGUAAAUGCCUUACCUCUUGGCACAAAAUAUAUUGUUUUUAAAUUGUUAUUCCAAGUAUCAUAUCUCUUUGUCAUAUUUACAACUUUAUAAAGUAUUGCAUAGUAUAAGAUACUGUUUGAAAAUAUUUUAAUUCAAAUUGAUACACUUGUAAUAUUCUUGUUGUUAAUAAUAAUCAUAGAAAUAUAUUUUCCCCAAAAUAAGAUAAAUCCAUUGAGGUCAGUUUCUCUGUAUAUUUUUGUUUCCUCCAAGAGCUAAUAAAAACUGAACACAAAUUCAAACAACAUUGGCAUUUGUGAAAUAAAUAAAAACGUGUAGA